Molecule: long non-coding RNA, 169 nt
Organism: Gadus morhua (Atlantic cod)
Lineage: Eukaryota; Metazoa; Chordata; Actinopteri; Gadiformes; Gadidae
Exons: 3
Source: RefSeq, a predicted model, not a curated record
CACGAAGGGUAUUCCCUCGUCCCAACGUUUCUCUGUUUCCAGGCAGUAUUUGCGGAGCAUUGACUUUAGGGUCUGAUGCCACCGUUCUAGCGCACCUUGAGACUCCGGGUGAUACGCGCUGGAAACGGCAUGAUGUACAUUCAAGGUUUUGAGUACCUGAUUAAAAAGG